GAUGAACGCUGGCGGCGUGCCUAAUACAUGCAAGUCGAGCGAACAGACGAGGAGCUUGCUCCUCUGACGUUAGCGGCGGACGGGUGAGUAACACGUGGAUAACCUACCUAUAAGACUGGGAUAACUUCGGGAAACCGGAGCUAAUACCGGAUAAUAUAUUGAACCGCAUGGUUCAAUAGUGAAAUACGGUUUUGCUGUUACUUAUAGAUGGAUCCGCGCCGCAUUAGCUAGUUGGUAAGGUAACGGCUUACCAAGGCAACGAUGCGUAGCCGACCUGAGAGGGUGAUCGGCCACACUGGAACUGAGACACGGUCCAGACUCCUACGGGAGGCAGCAGUAGGGAAUCUUCCGCAAUGGGCGAAAUCCUGACGGAGAAACGCGGCGUGAGUGAUGAAGGUCUUCGGAUCGUAAAACUCUGUUAUUAGGGAAGACCAAAUGUGUAAGUAAAUAUGCACGUCUUGACGGUACCUAAUCAGAAAGCCACGGCUAACUACGUG
RNAcentral lists this ribosomal RNA (497 nucleotides) under uncultured bacterium. RNAcentral describes it as "partial 16S ribosomal RNA". It matches the Rfam family "Bacterial small subunit ribosomal RNA", at positions 28 to 507 of the family's 1533-position model. The record is from RNAcentral.